RNAcentral lists this ribosomal RNA (496 nucleotides) under uncultured bacterium. Its description in RNAcentral is "partial 16S ribosomal RNA". It matches the Rfam family "Bacterial small subunit ribosomal RNA", at positions 28 to 506 of the family's 1533-position model. The record is from RNAcentral.
GAUGAACGCUGGCGGCGUGCCUAAUACAUGCAAGUCGAGCGAACGGACGAGAAGCUUGCUUCUCUGAUGUUAGCGGCGGACGGGUGAGUAACACGUGGAUAACCUACCUAUAAGACUGGGAUAACUUCGGGAAACCGGAGCUAAUACCGGAUAAUAUUUUGAACCGCAUGGUUCAAAAGUGAAAGACGGUCUUGCUGUCACUUAUAGAUGGAUCCGCGCUGCAUUAGCUAGUUGGUAAGGUAACGGCUUACCAAGGCAACGAUGCAUAGCCGACCUGAGAGGGUGAUCGGCCACACUGGAACUGAGACACGGUCCAGACUCCUACGGGAGGCAGCAGUAGGGAAUCUUCUGCAAUGGGCGAAAGCCUGACGGAGCAACGCCGCGUGAGUGAUGAAGGUCUUCGGAUCGUAAAACUCUGUUAUUAGUGAAGAACAUAUGUGUAAGUAACUGUGCACAUCUUGACGGUACCUAAUCAGAAAGCCACGGCUAACUACGU